GUCAGAAUGGCUUAGCGGUCUAAGGCGCUGCGCUCAGGUCGCAGCGCUGGUCCCAUUGGAGGCGUGGGUUCAAAUCCCACUUCUGACA
This is a non-coding RNA of Hippoglossus stenolepis (Pacific halibut), 88 nucleotides long. The record is from the annotation of a RefSeq genome assembly. Lineage: Eukaryota; Metazoa; Chordata; Actinopteri; Pleuronectiformes; Pleuronectidae.